This 792-nucleotide unclassified non-coding RNA is filed under the name Hevea brasiliensis (rubber tree). Lineage: Eukaryota; Viridiplantae; Streptophyta; Magnoliopsida; Malpighiales; Euphorbiaceae. The record is from RNAcentral.
UUGUUCAACAAAUACCACUCUCAAGGCUUUCGCUGUCGUUGUUUAGAUUGACGGCAGAGGUUAUAUAAAGAUUUCUAAAAGACACACGAGAGAGAGGGAGAAAGAGAGAGUUGCAUAUAGAAUCUGAAAUUUAAACGAUCGAAACAGAGAAGUGUCGAAACUGAUAUUCGAAAUCUUGAAGCAUGGGAAAAUCAAGACAAGAUUCUAUGACUAAAGCUGAUCGGAAAUUCGAGAAGAAACUUGAAUUUUAUGCCAAGGUUAGGGAUACGGUUGCCAGUUUGACUGCCCAAAAGUCCAUUACUAAGAAAAAGAAGCUCCGAAGUCGGCAGAAGAAAUUGAAAGCAUAUGAUCUGUCUGCACUUACAGAGUUCCUUCCUGAGUUGACGGCUUCUCAGAAACAGCAAUCAACUCCUGCAGCUGAGUUUAAACUGAAUUGUAAAUCUAGACAAAAUCUAAUAUUGAAGGAAGGGAAACAAUUGGGUACUGUUCUUAACCAUCCUGCUUUCCAGUCUGAUCCCCUGGGAGCCAUUCAUCAACACUUACAGAGUACACAACCGGUUAUGGAUGAGAAACCAAAAAAGUUGAGCAAAAAUGGGGGGAAGAAAGUAAAGGGGAAAAAAUGUAAAGCGUCGAAUAAAUGCCAAUCUAUGGAUUUCUGAAUGGGCAUCUGUCUGGAUUUGUGUUGCGGUAACAUUCUAGUUUUGAAUGUUAUUGCCUUUCCAUGUUGAGAAACAACUAAUUUUGAGGAAAUUCCAAAUAUUAAUUGCUGAAGUUGCAUGAGAUUUGCUUGCC